RNAcentral lists this ribosomal RNA (461 nucleotides) under uncultured beta proteobacterium. Its description in RNAcentral is "bacterial SSU rRNA". It matches the Rfam family "Bacterial small subunit ribosomal RNA", at positions 200 to 642 of the family's 1533-position model. The record is from RNAcentral. Lineage: Bacteria; Pseudomonadati; Pseudomonadota; Betaproteobacteria.
AGAAAAGCAGGGGAUCGCAAGACCUUGCGCUUUUGGAGCGGCCGAUGUCCGAUUAGCUAGUUGGUGAGGUAAAGGCUUACCAAGGCUUCGAUCAGUAGCUGGUCUGAGAGGACGACCAGCCACACUGGGACUGAGACACGGCCCAGACUCCUACGGGAGGCAGCAGUGGGGAAUUUUGGACAAUGGGGGAAACCCUGAUCCAGCCAUGCCGCGUGAGUGAAGAAGGCCUUCGGGUUGUAAAGCUCUUUCAGCCGGAACGAAAAGGUUACGGUUAAUACCCGUGACUAAUGACGGUACCGGAAGAAGAAGCACCGGCUAACUACGUGCCAGCAGCCGCGGUAAUACGUAGGGUGCGAGCGUUAAUCGGAAUUACUGGGCGUAAAGCGUGCGCAGGCGGUUUUGUAAGUCAGAUGUGAAAUCCCCGGGCUCAACCUGGGAACUGCGUUUGAAACUACAAAGCU